GACGAACCGUGCGAACGUUGUUCGGAAUCACUGGGCUUAAAGGGCGCGUAGGCGGCUUGGCAAGUCCGGGGUGAAAGCCCCCAGCUCAACUGGGGAAGUGCCUUGGAUACUGGGAAUCUCGAGGGAGGUAGGGGCAGUGGGAACUUCCGGUGGAGCGGUGAAAUGCGUUGAUAUCGGAAGGAACGCCGGUGGCGAAAGCGCACUGCUGGACCUCUACUGACGCUGAGGCGCGAAAGCCAGGGGAGCAAACGGG
RNAcentral lists this ribosomal RNA (253 nucleotides) under uncultured bacterium. RNAcentral's name for it is "partial 16S ribosomal RNA". It matches the Rfam family "Bacterial small subunit ribosomal RNA", at positions 524 to 776 of the family's 1533-position model. The record is from RNAcentral.